UACGUAGGGGGCAAGCGUUGUCCGGAAUCAUUGGGCGUAAAGAGCGUGUAGGCGGCUCGGUAAGUCCGCUGUGAAAGUCCAGGGCUCAACCCUGGAAUGCCGGUGGAAACUGUCGAGCUAGAGUCCGGAAGAGGCGAGUGGAAUUCCUGGUGUAGCGGUGAAAUGCGCAGAUAUCAGGAGGAACACCAAUGGCGAAGGCAGCUCGCUGGGACGGUACUGACGCUGAGGCGCGAAAGCUAGGGGAGCAAACAGG
Molecule: ribosomal RNA, 253 nt
Filed under: uncultured bacterium
Lineage: Bacteria
Description: partial 16S ribosomal RNA
Rfam family: Bacterial small subunit ribosomal RNA
Source: RNAcentral